GGCUCUGCACCUCAGUGGUAGAACAUCUGCUUUGCAUGCAAAAGGCUGCAAGUUCAAUCUCUGCCAUUUCUUGGUAGGGCUA
This is a non-coding RNA of Podarcis lilfordi (Lilford's wall lizard), 82 nucleotides long. Lineage: Eukaryota; Metazoa; Chordata; Lepidosauria; Squamata; Lacertidae. The record is from the annotation of a GenBank genome assembly.